CUUGUUCUUCACGGUGAGGAAUAACAAACAAGCAGCUUGUGCUGUUACAAAAAAAAUAUAUAUAUAUAUAGCUGGCAGCGUCCUCGCGCUCGUCAAUCAUUUCAGUGGUUUCUCAUUAGACUAGUUCCUGGUCAAACCUGCGUGAUUAAUUGAGUGGAAAGCUCGCCGUGACUGCACAGGUGUGAAAACGCAACAUGUGCUGUUUUAAAGUCGGAAGUGGGGGGAAAUCAUGCCGAAACACACGGGACAUUUGCUGGUAUUCGUAACGCAGGCGUGUGUCCUAAGUGUGAACUGUAAAACAAACAAAUAGGAAGUAUAUUUGCCGGUCGACAUAAAUUUUAGGGCACUUUUCAAGCUGUAUUUUUUUCUUCCGCUUGAAUAAGAGAAUCUAACCUUUCGUCUUGGACUGAAUACACAAUGCCCCACUGGACCCCUGGACUGCUCACUCUUUAGUGCAUGUCAAGAAGACACCAGUCUGGACCAUUUCCUCUGGGAGGUGGGGAAAAGAUGAACAAAGGCAUCACGGAGAAGGAAAAAAAAAGACAGCCACCACUUCAAUUGUCAAUUGUCAAGUGUCAAGGAGAAAUAUAGGAGAAGAGAGCACAAACACUUGUCAGUAAAAUGUGGCAGCACAGAUGUGUGAGAAAAGAAGAGAUGUGAGAUGAGAAGAGAGGUGAWAAACAAAAGAUGUUAGAGAAGGUGUAUGUCUGAGUUCAGAGGUAACACUGGUGAAUGAUGUCACCGAUUCACUGCCCUACUAAAAUUGAUGUUUUGUUGCUUGUUGCCUCAGUUAGUAUCAUUCAAUGCAUCUUUUUUUAUUUUACAUGUGAGCAUGUCUGUACAACCAGCCUGCUUUUACAUUAAAAUGAAAACAUCUGCUGACAGGUAUGUUCCAUUGCAAAAUCUAAACUAGACUAUUACACAAGAGUUUUUCAUAAUUAGAUUUUAUUUUUCAGUUCAUACCCUAACAAAAGAACUGAUCCAAGCUGAAUGGAUGAGCAAAAAUACUUACACUUUUA
Long non-coding RNA from Austrofundulus limnaeus, 1019 nucleotides. RefSeq lists it as uncharacterized. The transcript is spliced from 3 exons. The record is from RefSeq and is a predicted model, not a curated record. NCBI's taxonomy places the organism in Eukaryota, Metazoa, Chordata, Actinopteri, Cyprinodontiformes, Rivulidae.